This 497-nucleotide ribosomal RNA is filed under the name uncultured bacterium. Its description in RNAcentral is "partial 16S ribosomal RNA". It matches the Rfam family "Bacterial small subunit ribosomal RNA", at positions 28 to 507 of the family's 1533-position model. The record is from RNAcentral.
GAUGAACGCUGGCGGCGUGCCUAAUACAUGAAAGUCGAGCGAACAGACGAGGAGCUUGCUCCUCUGACGUUAGCGGCGGACGGGUGAGUAACACGUGGAUAACCUACCUAUAAGACUGGGAUAACUUCGGGAAACCGGAGCUAAUACCGGAUAAUAUAUUGAACCGCAUGGUUCAAUAGUGAAAGACGGUUUUGCUGUCACUUAUAGAUGGAUCCGCGCCGCAUUAGCUAGUUGGUAAGGUAACGGCUUACCAAGGCAACGAUGCGUAGCCGACCUGAGAGGUUGAUCGGCCACACUGGAACUGAGACACGGUCCAGACUCCUACGGGAGGCAGCAGUAGGGAAUCUUCCGCAAUGGGCGAAAGCCUGACGGAGCAACGCCGCGUGAGUGAUGAAGGUCUUCGGAUCGUAAAACUCUGUUAUUAGGGAAGAACAAAUGUGUAAGUAACUAUGCACGUCUUGACGGUACCUAAUCAGAAAGCCACGGCUAACUACGUG